GAUGAACGCUGGCGGCGUGCUUAACACAUGCAAGUCGAACGGAAAGGCUCCUGCUUGCAGGGGUACUCGAGUGGCGAACGGGUGAGUAACACGUGGGUGAUCUGCCCAGCACUUCGGGAUAAGCCUGGGAAACUGGGUCUAAUACCGGAUAGGACGAUGGUUUGGAUGCCAUUGUGGAAAGUUUUUUCGGUGUGGGAUGAGCUCGCGGCCUAUCAGCUUGUUGGUGGGGUAAUGGCCUACCAAGGCGUCGACGGGAAGCCGGCCUGAGAGGGUGUACGGCCACAUUGGCACUGAGAUACGGCCCAGACUCCUACGGGAGGCAGCAGUGGGGAAUAUUGCACAAUGGGCGCAAGCCUGAUGCAGCGACGCCGCGUGGGGGAUGACGGCCUUCGGGUUGUAAACUCCUUUCGCUAGGGACGAAGCGCAAGUGACGGUACCUGGAGAAGAAGCACCGGCUAACUACGUG
This 466-nucleotide ribosomal RNA is filed under the name uncultured bacterium. RNAcentral's name for it is "partial 16S ribosomal RNA". It matches the Rfam family "Bacterial small subunit ribosomal RNA", at positions 28 to 507 of the family's 1533-position model. The record is from RNAcentral.